Molecule: ribosomal RNA, 406 nt
Filed under: uncultured bacterium
Lineage: Bacteria
Description: bacterial SSU rRNA
Rfam family: Bacterial small subunit ribosomal RNA
Source: RNAcentral
AUUGAACGCUGGCGGCAUGCCUUACACAUGCAAGUCGAACGGCAGCACGGGAGCUUGCUCCUGGUGGCGAGUGGCGAACGGGUGAGUAAUACAUCGGAACGUACCCUGAAGUGGGGGAUAACGUAGCGAAAGUUACGCUAAUACCGCAUAUUCUGUGAGCAGGAAAGAGGGGGAUCGCAAGACCUCUUGCUUUAGGAGCGGCCGAUGUCGGAUUAGCUAGUUGGUGAGGUAAAGGCUCACCAAGGCGACGAUCCGUAGCGGGUCUGAGAGGAUGAUCCGCCACACUGGGACUGAGACACGGCCCAGACUCCUACGGGAGGCAGCAGUGGGGAAUAUUGGACAAUGGGCGCAAGCCUGAUCCAGCCACGCCGCGUGAGUGAUGAAGGCCUCGGUCGUAAAGACUCUG